GCCAUAGCUCAGCGGGAGAACAUCUGCCUUGCAUGCAGAAGGUCCCAGAUUCAACCCUGAACAUCUCCAGGUAGGGCA
Podarcis lilfordi (Lilford's wall lizard) is the source of this 78-nucleotide non-coding RNA. Lineage: Eukaryota; Metazoa; Chordata; Lepidosauria; Squamata; Lacertidae. The record is from the annotation of a GenBank genome assembly.